Molecule: long non-coding RNA, 562 nt
Filed under: Equus caballus (horse)
Lineage: Eukaryota; Metazoa; Chordata; Mammalia; Perissodactyla; Equidae
Description: lncRNA (ENSECAG00000057150.1)
Source: RNAcentral
GGCAAAUGCUGGUGAUGGCUCCCCCUUGUCCAGCACCUUGUCCAGGAUGUGCCAGGGACGUUUCUACACCCUUUACGCCAUCUUGCUAAGCCAGUCUUCACAACAGCCCCUGACUUGGGGCUCCAUGAUUACCCCGCUUUCGAGAUGGGAGGAAGCAGAUGCGGAGUGAUCAUGUGCCUUGCCCAGGGCUAAGCCACGGACUGGGAGCCAAACCCGGACAACUCCAGCCUUGGCCCAGGAGUCUGGCCUCAGCAUGGGUCCUCCAGGGGGCGCAGCUCAGCACCGGCUUUGGGGAGAUUCCAGGUGCCUGGACUCACAGACCAAGGUGGUCACUCCCCACUGGGCCUGAACAGAACAGAAAGUGGAGGAAGGAAGAACUCGCCCUCCCUGCCUGAUGACUCGAGCUGGGACAUUGAUCUUCUUCUGGCCUCGCGCUCCUGGUUCCCAGGCCUUUGGACUUGGACCGGACUUCACCAGCUUCCCUGUGUCUCUACCUAGAAGACGGUGGAACUUCUCAGCCUGCGUAACUGUGUGAGCCAGUUCCUGGCAAUAAAUCUUUUCC